UACACGACCGUACCGCAAACCGACACUGGUGCGCGAGAUGAGUAUUCUAAGGCGCUUGAGAGAACUCAGGAGAAGGAACUCGGCAAAUUGACACCGUAACUUCGGAAGAAGGUGUGCCUUUAGUAGGUGAACCUGUACAAGGGGAGCCCAAUGAGGUUGCAAAAAAUCGGUGGCUGCGACUGUUUAAUAAAAACACAGCACUCUGCAAACACGAAAGUGGACGUAUAGGGUGUGACGCCUGCCCGGUGCUGGAAGAUUAAAUGAUGGGGUGCAAGCUCUUGAUUGAAGUCCCAGUAAACGGCGGCCGUAACUAUAACGGUCCUAAGGUAGCGAAAUUCCUUGUCGGGUAAGUUCCGACCUGCACGAAUGGCGUAACGAUGGCCACACUGUCUCCUCCUGAGACUCAGCGAAGUUGAAAUGUUUGUGAUGAUGCAAUCUCCCCGCGGAAAGACGGAAAGACCCCAUGAACCUUUACUGUAGCUUUGUAUUGGACUUUGAACAGAUCUGUGUAGGAUAGGUGGGAGGCUUUGAAGUGUGGUCGCUAGAUCGCAUGGAGCCAACGUUGAAAUACCACCCUGGUGUGUUUGAGGUUCUAACCUAGGCCCGUAAUCCGGGUCGGGGACAGUGCAUGGUAGGCAGUUUGACUGGGGCGGUCUCCUCCCAAAGCGUAACGGAGGAGUUCGAAGGUACGCUAGGUACGGUCGGACAUCGUGCUAAUAGUGCAAUGGCAUAAGCGUGCUUAACUGCGAGACUGACAAGUCGAGCAGAUGCGAAAGCAGGACAUAGUGAUCCGGUGGUUCUGUAUGGAAGGGCCAUCGCUCAACGGAUAAAAGGUACUCUGGGGAUAACAGGCUGAUACCGCCCAAGAGUUCAUAUCGACGGCGGUGUUUGGCACCUCGAUGUCGGCUCAUCUCAUCCUGGGGCUGUAGCCGGUCCCAAGGGUAUGGCUGUUCGCCAUUUAAAGAGGUACGUGAGCUGGGUUUAAAACGUCGUGAGACAGUUUGGUCCCUAUCUUCCGUGGGCGCUGCAGAUUUGAGGAAGCCUGCUCCUAGUACGAGAGGACCGGAGUGGACACACCUCUGGUGUAUCGGUUGUCACGCCAGUGGCAUUGCCGAGUAGCUAUGUGUGAAGAGAUGACCGCUGAAAGCAUCUAAGCGGGAAACUCGUUUCAAGAUGAGAUCUGCCGGGGCCUUGAGCCCCCUAAAGAGUCGUUCAAGACCAGGACGUUGAUAGGUCGGGUGUGGAAGCGCAGUAAUGCGUUAAGCUAACCGAUACUAAUUGCUCGUGCGGCUUGACCCU
Molecule: ribosomal RNA, 1299 nt
Filed under: metagenome
Description: bacterial LSU rRNA
Rfam family: Bacterial large subunit ribosomal RNA
Source: RNAcentral